CUCCCCAGAGCCCAGGCCUCCUGCCUCCAGUCCCCAGCCCACAGCCCAGGAUUAGGCAGAGCCAGCUGCUUUCCCGUGGCUGCCCUGACUCCUUACAGGGAUCACUGAGAUUCUGAUGAACAGACCUUCUGCCCGCAAUGCCUUGGGGAAUGUCUUCGUCAGUGAGGUAAGAAAGGGCGGGCGCCAGGGUGGGCUGGGGAUGGGCUGGCACUAUCUAACUGGGUGUCCUCUGUAGCUGCUGGAAACUCUGGCCCAGCUGCGGGAGGACCGGCAAGUGCGUGUCCUGCUCUUCAGAAGUGGAGUGAAGGGCGUGUUCUGUGCAGGUGCAGACCUGAAGGAGCGGGAACAGAUGAGUGAAGCAGAGGUGGGGGUGUUUGUCCAGCGACUCCGGGGCCUGAUGAAUGACAUCGGUGAGGAUCUGGGUGUGGGGUAGAGGAGG
RNAcentral lists this small RNA (439 nucleotides) under Pan troglodytes (chimpanzee). Its description in RNAcentral is "retained intron". Lineage: Eukaryota; Metazoa; Chordata; Mammalia; Primates; Hominidae. The record is from RNAcentral.